GACGAACGCUGGCGGCGUGCCUAAUACAUGCAAGUUGAGCGCUGAAGGUUGGUACUUGUACCAACUGGAUGAGCAGCGAACGGGUGAGUAACGCGUGGGGAAUCUGCCUUUGAGCGGGGGACAACAUUUGGAAACGAAUGCUAAUACCGCAUAAAAACUUUAAACACAAGUUUUAAGUUUGAAAGAUGCAAUUGCAUCACUCAAAGAUGAUCCCGCGUUGUAUUAGCUAGUUGGUGAGGUAAAGGCUCACCAAGGCGAUGAUACAUAGCCGACCUGAGAGGGUGAUCGGCCACAUUGGGACUGAGACACGGCCCAAACUCCUACGGGAGGCAGCAGUAGGGAAUCUUCGGCAAUGGACGAAAGGCUGACCGAGCAACGCCGCGUGAGUGAAGAAGGUUUUCGGAUCGUAAAACUCUGUUGGUAGGGAAGAACGUUGGUGGGAGUGGAAAGCUCAUCAAGUGACGGUAACUACCCAGAAAGGGACGGCUAACUACGUG
This 497-nucleotide ribosomal RNA is filed under the name uncultured bacterium. RNAcentral's name for it is "partial 16S ribosomal RNA". It matches the Rfam family "Bacterial small subunit ribosomal RNA", at positions 28 to 507 of the family's 1533-position model. The record is from RNAcentral.